AACGUAGGAGGCGAGCGUUAUCCGGAUUUACUGGGUGUAAAGCGCGUGCAGGCGGUUUAGCAAGUCGUGCGUGAAAGCGCUCUGGCUCAACCGGGCGAGGACGUGCGGAACUGCUGAACUAGAGGCAGGUAGAGGCGUGUGGAAUUCCGGGUGUAGUGGUGAAAUGCGUAGAGAUCCGGAGGAACACCAGUGGCGAAGGCGACGCGCUGGGCCUGACCUGACGCUAAGACGCGAGAGCAUGGGGAGCGAACGGGAUUAGAAACCCCAGUAGUCC
This 274-nucleotide ribosomal RNA is filed under the name uncultured prokaryote. RNAcentral's name for it is "partial 16S ribosomal RNA". It matches the Rfam family "Bacterial small subunit ribosomal RNA", at positions 524 to 796 of the family's 1533-position model. The record is from RNAcentral.